Molecule: ribosomal RNA, 1489 nt
Filed under: Citrobacter freundii
Lineage: Bacteria; Pseudomonadati; Pseudomonadota; Gammaproteobacteria; Enterobacterales; Enterobacteriaceae
Description: bacterial SSU rRNA
Rfam family: Bacterial small subunit ribosomal RNA
Source: RNAcentral
AUUCUAGAGUUUGAUCAUGGCUCAGAUUGAACGCUGGCGGCAGGCCUAACACAUGCAAGUCGAACGGUAGCACAGAGGAGCUUGCUCCUUGGGUGACGAGUGGCGGACGGGUGAGUAAUGUCUGGGAAACUGCCCGAUGGAGGGGGAUAACUACUGGAAACGGUAGCUAAUACCGCAUAACGUCGCAAGACCAAAGAGGGGGACCUUCGGGCCUCUUGCCAUCGGAUGUGCCCAGAUGGGAUUAGCUAGUAGGUGGGGUAACGGCUCACCUAGGCGACGAUCCCUAGCUGGUCUGAGAGGAUGACCAGCCACACUGGAACUGAGACACGGUCCAGACUCCUACGGGAGGCAGCAGUGGGGAAUAUUGCACAAUGGGCGCAAGCCUGAUGCAGCCAUGCCGCGUGUAUGAAGAAGGCCUUCGGGUUGUAAAGUACUUUCAGCGAGGAAGAAGGCGUUGUGGUUAAUAACCGCAGCGAUUGACGUUACUCGCAGAAGAAGCACCGGCUAACUCCGUGCCAACAGUCGCGGUAAUACGGAUGGUGGUAACGUUAAUCGGAAUUACUGGGCGUAAAGCGCACGCAGGCGGUCUGUCAAGUCGGAUGUGAAAUCCCCGGGCUCAACCUGGGAACUGCAUCCGAAACUGGCAGGCUAGAGUCUUGUAGAGGGGGGUAGAAUUCCAGGUGUAGCGGUGAAAUGCGUAGAGAUCUGGAGGAAUACCGGUGGCGAAGGCGGCCCCCUGGACAAAGACUGACGCUCAGGUGCGAAAGCGUGGGGAGCAAACAGGAUUAGAUACCCUGGUAGUCCACGCCGUAAACGAUGUCGACUUGGAGGUUGUGCCCUUGAGGCGUGGCUUCCGGAGCUAACGCGUUAAGUCGACCGCCUGGGGAGUACGGCCGCAAGGUUAAAACUCAAAUGAAUUGACGGGGGCCCGCACAAGCGGUGGAGCAUGUGGUUUAAUUCGAUGCAACGCGAAGAACCUUACCUACUCUUGACAUCCAGAGAACUUAGCAGAGAUGCUUUGGUGCCUUCGGGAACUCUGAGACAGGUGCUGCAUGGCUGUCGUCAGCUCGUGUUGUGAAAUGUUGGGUUAAGUCCCGCAACGAGCGCAACCCUUAUCCUUUGUUGCCAGCGGUUCGGCCGGGAACUCAAAGGAGACUGCCAGUGAUAAACUGGAGGAAGGUGGGGAUGACGUCAAGUCAUCAUGGCCCUUACGAGUAGGGCUACACACGUGCUACAAUGGCAUAUACAAAGAGAAGCGACCUCGCGAGAGCAAGCGGACCUCAUAAAGUAUGUCGUAGUCCGGAUUGGAGUCUGCAACUCGACUCCAUGAAGUCGGAAUCGCUAGUAAUCGUGGAUCAGAAUGCCACGGUGAAUACGUUCCCGGGCCUUGUACACACCGCCCGUCACACCAUGGGAGUGGGUUGCAAAAGAAGUAGGUAGCUUAACCUUCGGGAGGGCGCUUACCACUUUGUGAUUCAUGACUGGGGUG